UACGGAGGGUGCAAGCGUUGUCCGGAAUCACUGGGCGUAAAGGGCGCGUAGGCGGCCUGGUAAGUAGGGGGUGAAAUCCUGCGGCUUAACCGCAGGGCUGCCUUCUAAACUGUCAGGCUUGAGCACGGUAGAGGCAGAUGGAAUUCCCGGUGUAGCGGUGGAAUGCGUAGAGAUCGGGAAGAACAUCAGUGGCGAAGGCGGGUCUCUGGGCCGUAACUGACGCUGAGGAGCGAAAGCAUGGGGAGCGAACGGG
Molecule: ribosomal RNA, 253 nt
Filed under: uncultured bacterium
Lineage: Bacteria
Description: partial 16S ribosomal RNA
Rfam family: Bacterial small subunit ribosomal RNA
Source: RNAcentral